GCGGGUAUAGUUCAGUGGUAGAACGUAUGCUUCCCAAGCAUAAUGUCAGGGGUUCGAAUCCCCUUACCCGCU
This 72-nucleotide transfer RNA is filed under the name Pseudomonadota bacterium. RNAcentral's name for it is "tRNA-Gly". It matches the Rfam family "tRNA". Rfam says of the family: Transfer RNA (tRNA) molecules are approximately 80 nucleotides in length. Their secondary structure includes four short double-helical elements and three loops (D, anti-codon, and T loops). RNAcentral also lists the same sequence under 2 other names. The record is from RNAcentral. Lineage: Bacteria; Pseudomonadati; Pseudomonadota.